CGGAAGGAUCAUUACCGAAGUGAGGGUCCCUCGUGGGCCCAUCCUCCCACCCGUGUCUCUAGCUACCGUGUUGCUUCGGCGGGCCCACUGGGCCACCGUGUCCGGUCACCCCGGAGGAUGCUCCCUCCGGGCCCGUGCCCGCCGGAGAACCCACAAACUCUGUCUGAACCAGUUUGUCUGAGUGCAGAUUGUAAUCGUCAAAACUUUCAACAACGGAUCUCUUGGUUCCGGCAUCGAUGAAGAACGCAGCGAAAUGCGAUAAGUAAUGUGAAUUGCAGAAUUCCGUGAAUCAUCGAAUCUUUGAACGCACAUUGCGCCCUCUGGCAUUCCGGGGGGCAUGCCUGUCCGAGCGUCAUUUCUGCCCCUCAAGCGCGGCUUGUGUGUUGGGCGUUGUCCCCCUCGCUUCCCGGCGGGGGGACAUGCCCGAAAGGCAGCGGCGGCGUCGCGUCCGGUCCUCGAGCGUAUGGGGCUCUGUCACUCGCUCUGGAGACCCGGCCGGUGCCCGCCACCCACCCAUAUCUUUCUAGGUUGACCUCGGAUCAGGUAGGGAUACCCGCUGAACUU
RNAcentral lists this unclassified non-coding RNA (564 nucleotides) under Eurotiales sp. KO-groupD 2014. RNAcentral describes it as "partial contains ITS1, 5.8S rRNA and ITS2". The stretch from base 202 to 355 matches the Rfam family "5.8S ribosomal RNA". The record is from RNAcentral. Lineage: Eukaryota; Fungi; Ascomycota; Eurotiomycetes; Eurotiales.